RNAcentral lists this transfer RNA (69 nucleotides) under Ictidomys tridecemlineatus (thirteen-lined ground squirrel). Its description in RNAcentral is "Spermophilus tridecemlineatus (thirteen-lined ground squirrel) tRNA". It matches the Rfam family "tRNA". From Rfam's summary of the family: Transfer RNA (tRNA) molecules are approximately 80 nucleotides in length. Their secondary structure includes four short double-helical elements and three loops (D, anti-codon, and T loops). Further hydrogen bonds mediate the characteristic L-shaped molecular structure. tRNAs have two regions of fundamental functional importance: the anti-codon, which is responsible for specific mRNA codon recognition, and the 3' end, to which the tRNAs corresponding amino acid is attached (by aminoacyl-tRNA synthetases). tRNAs cope with the degeneracy of the genetic code in two manners: having more than one tRNA (with a specific anti-codon) for a particular amino acid; and 'wobble' base-pairing, i.e. permitting non-standard base-pairing at the 3rd anti-codon position. Lineage: Eukaryota; Metazoa; Chordata; Mammalia; Rodentia; Sciuridae. The record is from Rfam by way of RNAcentral.
GGGGUUGUGGCUCAGUGGUAGAGCACUUGCCUAGCAUGUGUGAGGCCCUGGGUCCGAUCCCUAGCACCA